This 505-nucleotide ribosomal RNA is filed under the name uncultured bacterium. RNAcentral's name for it is "partial 16S ribosomal RNA". It matches the Rfam family "Bacterial small subunit ribosomal RNA", at positions 28 to 507 of the family's 1533-position model. The record is from RNAcentral.
GACGAACGCUGGCGGCGUGCCUAAUACAUGCAAGUAGAACGCACAGUUUAUACCGUAGCUUGCUACACCAUAAACUGUGAGUUGCGAACGGGUGAGUAACGCGUAGGUAACCUGCCUGGUAGCGGGGGAUAACUAUUGGAAACGAUAGCUAAUACCGCAUAAUAUUAAUUAUUGCAUGAUAAUUGAUUGAAAGAUGCAAUUGCAUCACUACCAGAUGGACCUGCGUUGUAUUAGCUAGUAGGUGAGGUAACGGCUCACCUAGGCGACGAUACAUAGCCGAGCUGAGAGGGUGAGCGGCCAAACUGGGACUGAGACACGGCCCAGACUCCUGCGGGAGGCAGCAGUAGGGAAUCUUCGGCAAUGGACGAAAGUCUGACCGAGCAACGCCGCGGGGGUGAAGAAGGUUUUCGGAUCGUAAAGCUCUGUUGUAAGGGAAGAACGGGUGUGAGAGUGGAAAGUUCACACUGUGACGGUAUCUUACCAGAAAGGGACGGCUAACUACGUG